AGAGUUUGAUCAUGGCUCAGGACGAACGCUGGCGGCGUGCUUAACACAUGCAAGUCGAACGAUGAACCGGUUUCGGCCGGGGAUUAGUGGCGAACGGGUGAGUAACACGUGGGUAAUCUGCCCCGCACUCUGGGAUAAGCCCGGGAAACUGGGUCUAAUACCGGAUAUACAUCGAUGGUCGCAUGGCCUGUCGGUGGAAAGCUUUUGCGGUGUGGGAUGGGCCCGCGGCCUAUCAGCUUGUUGGUGGGGUGAUGGCCUACCAAGGCGACGACGGGUAGCCGGCCUGAGAGGGUGACCGGCCACACUGGGACUGAGACACGGCCCAGACUCCUACGGGAGGCAGCAGUGGGGAAUAUUGCACAAUGGGCGAAAGCCUGAUGCAGCGACGCCGCGUGAGGGAUGACGGCCUUCGGGUUGUAAACCUCUUUCAGCAGGGAAGAAGCGCAAGUGACGGUACCUGCAGAAGAAGCACCGGCUAACUACGUGCCAGCAGCCGCGGUAAUACGUAGGGUGCAAGCGUUGUCCGGAAUUAUUGGGCGUAAAGAGCUCGUAGGCGGCUUGUCGCGUCGGUUGUGAAAGCCCGGGGCUUAACCCUGGGUCUGCAGUCGAUACGGGCAGGCUAGAGUUCGGCAGGGGAGACUGGAAUUCCUGGUGUAGCGGUGAAAUGCGCAGAUAUCAGGAGGAACACCGGUGGCGAAGGCGGGUCUCUGGGCCGAUACUGACGCU
This 726-nucleotide ribosomal RNA is filed under the name uncultured bacterium. RNAcentral describes it as "bacterial SSU rRNA". It matches the Rfam family "Bacterial small subunit ribosomal RNA", at positions 8 to 747 of the family's 1533-position model. The record is from RNAcentral.